RNAcentral lists this long non-coding RNA (300 nucleotides) under Trifolium pratense (red clover). Its description in RNAcentral is "long non-coding RNA (TPRA_LNC010781)". Lineage: Eukaryota; Viridiplantae; Streptophyta; Magnoliopsida; Fabales; Fabaceae. The record is from RNAcentral.
GGAGGUCGCUGAGAAGUCUGCUUUAUAGCAGUUAUUGAUUGGUCUGGUAUUGCGUGUUGACAGGGAAGAUAGAUGGAGAUGGGUGCCAAAUGCUUCAGGCCUUUUCAGUGUCAAAUCUGCCUAUAUUUUUUUGCAAUCCCGGUUGAAUUCGAGUUAUUUAGAUUCUGAUUUAGUUUAUGAUUUGCACAAACUGUGGAAGAAUGAUGUUCCGUCAAAAGUGGGAGUAUUUGGCUGGCACUUGCUUCUUGAGAAGCUUCCGACUCGCGCCGCUUUAGCAUCUAAAGGUAUUUUAUCUAAUCC